AAUAAAACGUUGAUAAGGUCAAGUAAUAGAGUAUGCUACUUUCAGAGAUAUAACGGAUGGUGCGAGUUAUAAUAGCUGCUUAUGAAAUCCGCCUUUGAGUGAAUCUAUGAACUAUAAGUAGUUGAUUCCGGUAGCGCCGUUAUAGCUUUGAGUGGAUAUAUUUUAUGAUAUAUCAAAAAGGGUGGCAACACGAGGUAUCGUCCCUUUA
RNAcentral lists this non-coding RNA (208 nucleotides) under Erysipelotrichaceae bacterium. RNAcentral describes it as "T-box sequence". It matches the Rfam family "T-box leader". From Rfam's summary of the family: Uncharged tRNA acts as the effector for transcription antitermination of genes in the T-box leader family. T-boxes are found upstream of many aminoacyl-tRNA synthetase genes and some amino acid biosynthetic genes usually in Gram-positive bacteria. The record is from RNAcentral. Lineage: Bacteria; Bacillati; Bacillota; Erysipelotrichia; Erysipelotrichales; Erysipelotrichaceae.